This 484-nucleotide ribosomal RNA is filed under the name uncultured bacterium. RNAcentral's name for it is "partial 16S ribosomal RNA". It matches the Rfam family "Bacterial small subunit ribosomal RNA", at positions 28 to 523 of the family's 1533-position model. The record is from RNAcentral.
GACGAACGCUGGCGGCGUGCUUAACACAUGCAAGUCGAACGAUGAAGCCGGAGCUUGCUCUGGUGAAUUAGUGGCGAACGGGUGAGUAACACGUGAGUAACCUGCCCUUGACUCUGGAAUAACUGCUAGAAAUGGUAGCUAAUACCGGAUACGACCCUCGGAGGCAUCUCCAGGGGGUGGAAAGAAUUUCGGUCAAGGAUGGACUCGCGGCCUAUCAGCUAGUUGGUGAGGUAACGGCUCACCAAGGCGACGCCGGGUAGCCGGCCUGAGAGGGUGACCGGCCACACUGGGACUGAGACACGGCCCAGACUCCUACGGGAGGCAGCAGUGGGGAAUAUUGCACAAUGGGCGCAAGCCUGAUGCAGCAACGCCGCGUGAGGGAUGACGGCCUUCGGGUUGUAAACCUCUUUUAGUAAGGAAGAAGCGAAAGUGACGGUACCUGCAGAAAAAGCACCGGCUAACUACGUGCCAGCCGCCGCAGUAA